This 201-nucleotide long non-coding RNA is filed under the name Medicago truncatula (barrel medic). Its description in RNAcentral is "long non-coding RNA (MTRU_LNC006727)". Lineage: Eukaryota; Viridiplantae; Streptophyta; Magnoliopsida; Fabales; Fabaceae. The record is from RNAcentral.
AGUCCUACACUCCUCUAAGACAAUCUCCUCCCACACCCACAACCUCCGCCUCCAACUCCACCCCUCACCACCCCGCGACAACCUCAAGGGCAACAUGUUAGCUACAGUAGUAUAUUUGUCUACAGCUAAAUCAAACAACCUGGGAAACUGCUCUCUAAGGGGCGCCCCUCCACACCACCAGUGGAACCAAACAACGUAUCA